Molecule: ribosomal RNA, 460 nt
Filed under: uncultured bacterium
Lineage: Bacteria
Description: partial 16S ribosomal RNA
Rfam family: Bacterial small subunit ribosomal RNA
Source: RNAcentral
CCUACGGGUGGCAGCAGUGAGGAAUAUUGGUCAAUGGACGAGAGUCUGAACCAGCCAAGUAGCGUGAAGGAUGACUGCCCUAUGGGUUGUAAACUUCUUUUAUAUGGGAAUAAAAUGUUCCACGUGUGGGAUUUUGUAUGUACCAUAUGAAUAAGGAUCGGCUAACUCCGUGCCAGCAGCCGCGGUAAUACGGAGGAUCCGAGCGUUAUCCGGAUUUAUUGGGUUUAAAGGGAGCGUAGGUGGAUUGUUAAGUCAGGUGUGAAAGUUUGCGGCGCAACCGUAAAAUUGCAGUUGAAACUGGCAGUCUUGAGUACAGUAGGGGUGGGCGGAAUUCGUGGUGUAGCGGUGAAAUGCUUAGAUAUCACGAAGAACUCCGAUUGCGAAGGCAGUUCACUGGACUGCAACUGACACUGAGGCUCGAAAGUGUGGGUAUCAAACGGGAUUAGAUACCCGGGUAGUC